Molecule: ribosomal RNA, 406 nt
Filed under: uncultured bacterium
Lineage: Bacteria
Description: partial 16S ribosomal RNA
Rfam family: Bacterial small subunit ribosomal RNA
Source: RNAcentral
AUUGAACGCUGGCGGCAGGCCUAACACAUGCAAGUCGAGCGAGCGGCGGACGGGUGAGUAAUGUCUGGGGAUCUGCCCGAUAGCGGGGGAUAACUACUGGAAACGGUGGCUAAUACCGCAUACUAUCCGAUGAACCCAUAUGGGAUUAGCUUGUUGGUGUGGUAAAGGCUCACCUGGGCGACGAUCCCUAGCUGGUCUGAGAGGAUGAACAGCAACACUGGAAAUGAGACCCGGCCCAGACUCCUACGGGAGGCAGCAGUGGGGAAUAUUGCACAAUGGGCGCAAGCCUGAUUCAGCCAGGCCGCGUGUGUGAAGAAGGCCUUCGGGUUGUAAAUCCCUUUCAGCGGGGAGGCGUUACUCGCAGAAGAAGCACCGGCUAACUCCGUGCCAGCAGCCGCGGUAAUAC